This 676-nucleotide ribosomal RNA is filed under the name Osmorhiza longistylis. RNAcentral's name for it is "eukaryotic LSU rRNA". The stretch from base 268 to 423 matches the Rfam family "5.8S ribosomal RNA". The record is from RNAcentral. Lineage: Eukaryota; Viridiplantae; Streptophyta; Magnoliopsida; Apiales; Apiaceae.
AAGUCGUAACAAGGUUUCCGUAGGUGAACCUGCGGAAGGAUCAUUGUCGAAUCCUGCUCUAGCGGAAUGACCCGUUAACUCGUUAAAACAUCGGGCAAGCAUCAAGGGGACCAAGGUCCCCUCUUUGCGACCCCAGGGUAGUUGUCCCCUCACGGGCGUCAACAAGCCAACUAAAUCAAUCGGGCGCUGGAUGCGCCAAGGAAAUUAAUAUUGAAUUGAUUGUUUGCUUCUCGUUCGCGGGCAGCGGCGUCAGUCUGAAACACAAAUGACUCUCGGCAACGGAUAUCCCGGCUCUCGCAUCGAUGAAGAACGUAGCGAAAUGCGAUACUUGGUGUGAAUUGCAGAAUCCCGUGAACCAUUGAGUCUUUGAACGCAAGUUGCGCCCGAGGCCACUAGGCUAAGGGCACGUCUGCCUGGGUGUCACGCAUCCUGUUGCCCCUGACCAAACUAAUCUUUUAAGAGAUUUUGUCGGUUUGGGGGCGGACAUUGGCCUCCUGUGCCCUGUUGUGCGGCUGGCGCAAAAAUAAUUCUAUGGUGACGAAUGUCGCGACAUCGGUGGUUGUAAGAAGACCUUCUUGUCUUGUCGUGUGAAUGUUCGUCAUCUUAGAACGAUCAAUAACCCUUAGGCGCCAAAAAAAUUUGGCGCUUCGAUUGUGACCCCAGGUCAGGCGGGAUU